Strongylocentrotus purpuratus (purple sea urchin) is the source of this 993-nucleotide long non-coding RNA. RefSeq lists it as uncharacterized. The transcript is spliced from 2 exons. The record is from RefSeq and is a predicted model, not a curated record. NCBI's taxonomy places the organism in Eukaryota, Metazoa, Echinodermata, Echinoidea, Camarodonta, Strongylocentrotidae.
CGAAAUGUUUGAUUUCAAUUUCAAAUAUCCCUGCCAUUGAUGUCAACUGUCAACUCUGCCAUUUCGCCAGAUAUCAUAUAUCUUCCUUUAAAACCCACAGUAUGGGGAAAGGUUAGAUUAACACCAGGAAAGAAGAAUUGUAAGGGUAUUUGAGGGCAAUAAUUUAACAAAGCGAGAAAGGAUCGAUGCAGUAUUUACCAACCAAGCAUAGCUCAGACUAGUAGUACAAGUAUGAGUACGAGUCCCACACAUUAACUUAUGUGUGGGAAAAAUAGUCGGUCUGAAGACAAUGCUGCACUGGAUCUGGAUCGCUAGCUGCAUGCUGGAGGCUGCCGGCUGGAACUACUUUAAAGAUCAUCAUUUUGUCAAGGAAAGACAUGGGCAGAAGUCUACAAAUAAGCACUUCCAGACUUGGACUUGGACUUGGAGUGAAUCAGUACUUUGGAUAUAUGCUACCUCUGUGUUUUUUUUUUAUCCCACAGAAAGUUUGACAUGGAAUUGAGGGGGGGGGGGGGUGCAAUAUAGUUUUAAUCCACACUUUUGUGAAAAAUGAGUUACAUCCAUUUCCAUCAGCUUUCUAGAUUGUUCUUCAUCUUCUGACAAUUAAAAAAAAAGGAAAUCAACUGAUUAAUAGGGAAAUGAAUAAAUAUUCUUCUCCUGAAAACAAGCAAUUAUCUGAACACAAAAAAAAAAGUAACUCCCCCUUAAUCAAAAUGGCGUAGCUUUUAAAGAAAAGGUUUUGAGCAAAAUAAAUUGGCAGGACUGUUCCUAUAUUUAUUGACUAACUUUUCUCCCGAAAUAAAAUUGCUCCAUUGAGUAAUGCAUGAGUGGACAAACAGGCAAAAUUUUCACUUUUCAAAAGUCACAGUGGUUAUGUUUUAUGCUGUUUUGACAGUACAUUUUAGCUUUUCUUACACUAUUUUUAAAGUUUGCUCACCCAAGCAUGACACGAUUACAACCUCUUGAGUUCACACAACUUGUGAUGAAACAUUU